AGUAGUUUGAUCAGUGGCUCAGGACACGCUGGCGGCGUGCUUAACACAUGCAAGUCGAACGGUGACGAGGAGCUUGCUCCUCUGAUCAGUGGCGAACGGGUGAGUAACACGUGAGCAACCUGCCCCAGACUCUGGGAUAACAGUUGGAAACAGCUGCUAAUACCGGAUACGAGACGGAGAGGCAUCUCUACCGUCUGGAAAGUUUUUCGGUCUGGGAUGGACUCGCGGCCUAUCAGCUAGUUGGUGAGGUAAAUGGGCUCACCAAGGGCGACGACGGGUAGCCGGCCUGAGAGGGCGACCGGCCACACUGGGACUGAGACACGGCCCAGACUCCUACGGGAGGCAGCAGUGGGGAAUAUUGCACAAUGGGCGAAAGCCUGAUGCAGCGACGCCGCGUGAGGGAUGAAGGCCUUCGGGUUGUAAACCUCUUUCAGCAGGGAAGAAGCGAAAGUGACGGUACCUGCAGAAGAAGCACCGGCUAACUACGUG
Molecule: ribosomal RNA, 489 nt
Filed under: uncultured bacterium
Lineage: Bacteria
Description: bacterial SSU rRNA
Rfam family: Bacterial small subunit ribosomal RNA
Source: RNAcentral